Molecule: ribosomal RNA, 594 nt
Filed under: Diaporthe sp.
Lineage: Eukaryota; Fungi; Ascomycota; Sordariomycetes; Diaporthales; Diaporthaceae
Description: eukaryotic LSU rRNA
Rfam family: Eukaryotic large subunit ribosomal RNA
Source: RNAcentral
UUAAGCAUAUCAAUAAGCGGAGGAAAAGAAACCAACAGGGAUUGCCCUAGUAACGGCGAGUGAAGCGGCAACAGCUCAAAUUUGAAAUCUGGCUUCGGCCCGAGUUGUAAUUUGCAGAGGAUGUUUCUGGCGCGGUGCCUUCCGAGUUCCCUGGAACGGGACGCCACAGAGGGUGAGAGCCCCGUAUGGUUGGACACCAAGCCUGUGUGAAACUCCUUCGACGAGUCGAGUAGUUUGGGAAUGCUGCUCUAAAUGGGAGGUAAAUCUCUUCUAAAGCUAAAUACCGGCCAGAGACCGAUAGCGCACAAGUAGAGUGAUCGAAAGAUGAAAAGCACCUUGAAAAGGGGGUUAAAUAGUACGUGAAAUUGUUGAAAGGGAAGCACUUAUGACCAGACUUGGGCCGGGCGGCUCAUCAGGGGUUCUCCCCUGUGCACUCCGCCCGGCACAGGCCAGCAUCGGUUUUCGCGGGGGGAUAAGACCGUCAGGAACGUAGCACCCUCCGGGGUGUGUUAUAGCCUGGCGGACGAUACCCUCGCGGGGACCGAGGUUCGCGCUCCGCAAGGAUGCUGGCGUAAUGGUCAUCAGUGACCCGUC